This 377-nucleotide ribosomal RNA is filed under the name uncultured eukaryote. RNAcentral's name for it is "partial 18S ribosomal RNA". It matches the Rfam family "Eukaryotic small subunit ribosomal RNA", at positions 592 to 976 of the family's 1831-position model. The record is from RNAcentral.
CAAUAGCGUAUAUUAAAGUUGUUGCAGUUAAAAAGCUCGUAGUUGGAUUUCGGGGCAGCCUGGCUGGUCCGCCGCAAGGCGAGUACUGGUCAGCCGCCCUUCCUCUCGAAAGCCCCGACUGCUCUUUAUUGCAGUGGUCGGGUAGUUCGGGACGUUUACUUUGAAAAAAUUAGAGUGUUCAAGGCAGGCCUACGCCUGAAUACAUUAGCAUGGAGUAAUGGAAGAGGACCUCGGUCCUAUUUUGUUGGUUUCCAGGACCGAAGUAAUGAUUAAGAGGGACAGUUGGGGGCAUUCGUAUUUAGUUGUCAGAGGUGAAAUUCUCGGAUUUAUGAAAGACGAACAACUGCGAAAGCAUUUGCCAAGGAUGUUUUCAUUAA